Molecule: ribosomal RNA, 427 nt
Filed under: uncultured bacterium
Lineage: Bacteria
Description: partial 16S ribosomal RNA
Rfam family: Bacterial small subunit ribosomal RNA
Source: RNAcentral
UGGGGAAUAUUGGACAAUGGGCGAAAGCCUGAUCCAGCCAUGCCGCGUGUGUGAAGAAGGUCUUCGGAUUGUAAAGCACUUUAAAUUGGGAGGAAGGGCAUUAACCUAAUACGUUAGUGUUUUGACGUUACCGACAGAAUAAGCACCGGCUAACUCUGUGCCAGCAGCCGCGGUAAUACAGAGGGUGCAAGCGUUAAUCGGAAUUACUGGGCGUAAAGCGCGCGUAGGUGGUUUGUUAAGUUGGAUGUGAAAUCCCCGGGCUCAACCUGGGAACUGCAUUCAAAACUGACUGACUAGAGUAUGGUAGAGGGUGGUGGAAUUUCCUGUGUAGCGGUGAAAUGCGUAGAUAUAGGAAGGAACACCAGUGGCGAAGGCGACCACCUGGACUAAUACUGACACUGAGGUGCGAAAGCGUGGGGAGCAAACA